GUUAAUGCAGCUUAAAUGCUAAAGCAAGGCACUGAAAAUGCCUAGAUGGGUAUAUCAACUCCGUAAACA
RNAcentral lists this transfer RNA (69 nucleotides) under Ovis aries (sheep). It matches the Rfam family "tRNA". Rfam says of the family: Transfer RNA (tRNA) molecules are approximately 80 nucleotides in length. Their secondary structure includes four short double-helical elements and three loops (D, anti-codon, and T loops). Lineage: Eukaryota; Metazoa; Chordata; Mammalia; Artiodactyla; Bovidae. The record is from Rfam by way of RNAcentral.